GUGAGGAAUUUUCCGCAAUGGGCGAAAGCCUGACGGAGCAAUGCCGCGUGAAGGAUGAAGGCCUAUGGGUUGUAAACUUCUUUUCUCAGAAAAGAAUUAUGACGGUAUCUGAGGAAUAAGCAUCGGCUAACUCUGUGCCAGCAGCCGCGGUAAGACAGAGGAUGCAAGCGUUAUCCGGAAUGAUUGGGCGUAAAGCGUCUGUAGGUUGUUUAAAAAGUAUUCUGUCAAAGAUUAGGGCUUAACCCUAGAUAGGCAGAAUAAACUUUUAAGCUAGAGUUUGGUAGAGGCAGAGGAAAUUCCCGGUGGGGCGGUGAAAUGCGUAGAUAUCGGGAGGAACACCAAAGGCGAAGGCACUCUGCUGGGCCAAUACUAACACUGAGAGACGAAAGCGAGGGGAGCAAAUGGGAUUAGAUACCCUAGUAGUCC
Molecule: ribosomal RNA, 426 nt
Filed under: uncultured bacterium
Lineage: Bacteria
Description: partial 16S ribosomal RNA
Rfam family: Bacterial small subunit ribosomal RNA
Source: RNAcentral